This 465-nucleotide ribosomal RNA is filed under the name uncultured bacterium. Its description in RNAcentral is "partial 16S ribosomal RNA". It matches the Rfam family "Bacterial small subunit ribosomal RNA", at positions 338 to 795 of the family's 1533-position model. The record is from RNAcentral.
CCUACGGGUGGCAGCAGUAGGGAAUCUUCCACAAUGGGCGCAAGCCUGACGGAGCAACGCCGCGUGGGUGAAGAAGGUUUUCGGAUCGUAAAACUCUGUUGUUAGAGAAGAACGUGCGCGAGAGUAACUGUUCACGCCUUGACGGUAUCUAACCAGAAAGCCACGGCUAACUACGUGCCAGCAGCCGCGGUAAUACGUAGGUGGCAAGCGUUGUCCGGAUUUAUUGGGCGUAAAGGGAACGCAGGCGGUCUCUUAAGUCUGAUGUGAAAGCCUUCGGCUUAACCGGGGUGGGUCAUUGGAAACUGGGGGACUUGAGUGCAGAAGAGGAGAGUGGAACUCCAUGUGUAGCGGUGAAAUGCGUAGAUAUAUGGAAGAACACCAGUGGCGAAGGCGGCUCUCUGGUCUGUAACUGACGCUGAGGUUCGAAAGCGUGGGUAGCAAACAGGAUUAGAUACCCGAGUAGUC